CGAGUGGCGAACGGGUGAAGUAAUAUAUCGGAACGUCGCCCAGUCGGUGGGGGAUAACGUAGCGAAAGCUACGCUAAUACCGCAUACGAUCUAUGGAUGAAAGCGGGGGAUCGCAAGACCUCGCGCGAUUGGAGCGGCCGAUAUCAGAUUAGGUAGUUGGUGAGGUAAAGGCUCACCAAGCCGACGAUCUGUAGCUGGUCUGAGAGGACGACCAGCCACACUGGGACUGAGACACGGCCCAGACUCCUACGGGAGGCAGCAGUGGGGAAUUUUGGACAAUGGGCGCAAGCCUGAUCCAGCAAUGCCGCGUGCAGGAUGAAGGCCUUCGGGUUGUAAACUGCUUUUGUACGGAACGAAACGGUGAGCUCUAAUACAGUUUGCUAAUGACGGUACCGUAAGAAUAAGCACCGGCUAACUACGUG
This 422-nucleotide ribosomal RNA is filed under the name uncultured bacterium. Its description in RNAcentral is "bacterial SSU rRNA". It matches the Rfam family "Bacterial small subunit ribosomal RNA", at positions 92 to 507 of the family's 1533-position model. The record is from RNAcentral.